UCUAGCAAUGGCUUUCGCAAAUCUGUGCAAAGUACUCAUCAGUGACAGCCUGGACCCCUGCUGCCGGAAGAUCCUGCAAGAUGGAGGGCUGCAGGUGGUGGAGAAGCAGAACUUGAGCAAGGAGGAGCUGAUAGCUGAACUCCAGGACUGUGAAGGCCUUAUCAUCUGGUCAGCUACUAAGGUCACUGUUGAUGUCAUCAACACAGCAGAGAAGCUCCAGGUGGUAGGCAGGGCUGGUACAGGCGUGGACAAUGUGGAUCUGGAGGCUGCCACAAGGAAGGGCAUCCUAGUCAUCAACACCCCAAACGGAAACAGCCUCAGUGCUGCAGAGCUCACCUGUGGGAUGAUCAUGUGCCUGGCCAGGCAGAUUCCCCAGGCGACGGCUUCGAUGAAAGAUGGCAAAUGGGACCGGAAGAAGUUCACGGGGACAGAACUGAAUGGGAAGACAUUGGGAAUUCUUGGCCUUGGCAGAAUCUGAAGAGAGGUGGCCACCCGAAUGCAGUCCUUUGGAAUGAAGACUGUAGGCUCUAACCCCAUCAUCUCUCCUGAAGUUGUGGCCUCCUUCGGUGUUCAGCAGUUGCCGCUGGAGGAGAUCUGGCCUCUCUGUGACUUCAUCACUGUCCAUACCCCACUCCUGCCCUCCACCGCAGGCUUGCUGAAUGACAGCACCUUUGCUCAGUGCAAGAAAGGCGUGCGAGUAGUGAACUGUGCUCGAGGAGGCAUCGUGGAUGAAGGUGCCCUGCUGCGUGCCUUGCAGUCUGGUCAGUGUGCUGGGGCUGCACUGGAUGUGUUUACAGAAGAGCCACCACGGGACCGGGCCUUAGUGGACCACGAGAACAUCAUCAGCUGUCCCCACCUGGGUGCCAGCACUAAGAAAACCCAGAGUCAGCCUCCUGACUGUGACCCUGACAGGUGCCCCCUACCAAGCUGUGGGCCUGGUCCAGGGCACCACACCAAUGCUGCAGGUGCUCAACGGAGCCAUCUUCAGACCAGAGGUGCCUGCUACACAGGGGCCAACCCCUGCUCAUGUUCCGGGCUCAGCCCUCCAACCCUAUGA
Mus pahari (shrew mouse) is the source of this 1057-nucleotide RNA transcript. It is a transcript of the gene named D-3-phosphoglycerate dehydrogenase pseudogene, with no coding region annotated. NCBI's taxonomy places the organism in Eukaryota, Metazoa, Chordata, Mammalia, Rodentia, Muridae. The transcript has a single exon. The record is from RefSeq and is a predicted model, not a curated record.